ACGGGAGGCAGCAGUGGGGGAUAUUGCACAAUGGGGGAAACCCUGAUCCAGCGACGCCGCGUGAGUGAAGAAGUAUUUCGGUAUGUAAAGCUCUAUCAGCAGGGAAGAAAAUGACGGUACUUGACUAAGAAGCUCCGGCUAAAUACGUGCCAGCAGCCGCGGUAGUACGUAUGGUGCAAGCGUUAUCCGGAUUUACUGGGUGUAAAGGGAGCGUAGACGGCAAAGCAAGUCUGAAGUGAAAUCCCGGGGCUCAACCCCGGAACUGCAUUUGAAACUGUUUAGCUAGAGUGCAGGAGAGGUAAGCGGAAUUCCUAGUGUAGCGGUGAAAUGCGUAGAUAUUAGGAGGAACACCAGUGGCGAAGGCGGCUUACUGGACGGUAACUGACGUUGAGGCUCGAAGGCGUGGGGAGCAAACAGGAUUAGAUACCCUGGUA
This 434-nucleotide ribosomal RNA is filed under the name uncultured Ruminococcus sp. Its description in RNAcentral is "partial 16S ribosomal RNA". It matches the Rfam family "Bacterial small subunit ribosomal RNA", at positions 341 to 792 of the family's 1533-position model. The record is from RNAcentral. Lineage: Bacteria; Bacillati; Bacillota; Clostridia; Eubacteriales; Oscillospiraceae.